This 1172-nucleotide ribosomal RNA is filed under the name human gut metagenome. RNAcentral describes it as "bacterial SSU rRNA". It matches the Rfam family "Bacterial small subunit ribosomal RNA", at positions 43 to 1221 of the family's 1533-position model. The record is from RNAcentral.
CGUGCUUAACACAUGCAAGUCGAACGGGAUCCAUCAGGCUUUGCUUGGUGGUGAGAGUGGCGAACGGGUGAGUAAUGCGUGACCGACCUGCCCCAUACACCGGAAUAGCUCCUGGAAACGGGUGGUAAUGCCGGAUGCUCCAGUUGGAUGCAUGUCCUUCUGGGAAAGAUUCAUCGGUAUGGGAUGGGGUCGCGUCCUAUUAGCUUGUUGGCGGGGUAACGGCCCACCAUGGCUUCGACGGGUAGCCGGCCUGAGAGGGCGACCGGCCACAUUGGGACUGAGAUACGGCCCAGACUCCUACGGGAGGCAGCAGUGGGGAAUAUUGCACAAUGGGCGCAAGCCUGAUGCAGCGACGCCGCGUGCGGGAUGACGGCCUUCGGGUUGUAAACCGCUUUUGACUGGGAGCAAGCCCUUCGGGGUGAGUGUACCUUUCGAAUAAGCACCGGCUAACUACGUGCCAGCAGCCGCGGUAAUACGUAGGGUGCAAGCGUUAUCCGGAAUUAUUGGGCGUAAAGGGCUCGUAGGCGGUUCGUCGCGUCCGGUGUGAAAGUCCAUCGCUUAACGGUGGAUCCGCGCCGGGUACGGGCGGGCUUGAGUGCGGUAGGGGAGACUGGAAUUCCCGGUGUAACGGUGGAAUGUGUAGAUAUCGGGAAGAACACCAAUGGCGAAGGCAGGUCUCUGGGCCGUUACUGACGCUGAGGAGCGAAAGCGUGGGGAGCGAACAGGAUUAGAUACCCUGGUAGUCCACGCCGUAAACGGUGGAUGCUGGAUGUGGGGCCCGUUCCACGGGUUCCGUGUCGGAGCUAACGCGUUAAGCAUCCCGCCUGGGGAGUACGGCCGCAAGGCUAAAACUCAAAGAAAUUGACGGGGGCCCGCACAAGCGGCGGAGCAUGCGGAUUAAUUCGAUGCAACGCGAAGAACCUUACCUGGGCUUGACAUGUUCCCGACAGCCGUAGAGAUACGGUCUCCCUUCGGGGCGGGUUCACAGGUGGUGCAUGGUUGUCGUCAGCUCGUGUCGUGAGAUGUUGGGUUAAGUCCCGCAACGAGCGCAACCCUCGCCCUGUGUUGCCAGCACGUCGUGGUGGGAACUCACGGGGGACCGCCGGGGUCAACUCGGAGGAAGGUGGGGAUGACGUCAGAUCAUCAUGCCCCUUACGUCCAGGGCUUCACGC